CGUGUAGGCGGUUUGGUAAGUCUGAUGUGAAAGCCCUGGGCUCAACCCGGGAAGUGCAUUGGAAACUGUCAGACUUGAAUACGGGAGAGGGUAGUGGAAUUCCUGGUGUAGGAGUGAAAUCCGUAGAUAUCAGGAGGAACACCGGUGGCGAAGGCGGCUGCCUGGACCGAUAUUGACGCUGAGACGCGAAAGCGUGGGUAGCAAACGGGAUUAGAUACCCUGGUAGUCCACGCCGUAAACGAUGAGUACUAGGUGUUGCGGGUAUUGACCCCUGCAGUGCCGCAGCUAACGCAUUAAGUACUCCGCCUGGGAAGUACGGUCGCAAGACUAAA
RNAcentral lists this ribosomal RNA (332 nucleotides) under uncultured bacterium. RNAcentral's name for it is "bacterial SSU rRNA". It matches the Rfam family "Bacterial small subunit ribosomal RNA", at positions 568 to 898 of the family's 1533-position model. The record is from RNAcentral.